UACAGAGGGUGCAAGCGUUAAUCGGAAUUACUGGGCGUAAAGCGUGCGUAGGCGGCUUUUCAAGUCGUGUGUGAAAUCCCUGGGCUUAACCUGGGACGUGCGCGCGAUACUAGAAAGCUAGAGUAUGGUAGAGGGGUGUGGAAUUUCCAGUGUAGCGGUGAAAUGCGUAGAUAUUGGAAGGAACAUCAGUGGCGAAGGCGGCACCCUGGACUAAUACUGACGCUGAGGUACGAAAGCGUGGGGAUCAAACAGG
This 253-nucleotide ribosomal RNA is filed under the name uncultured bacterium. Its description in RNAcentral is "partial 16S ribosomal RNA". It matches the Rfam family "Bacterial small subunit ribosomal RNA", at positions 524 to 776 of the family's 1533-position model. The record is from RNAcentral.